GACAGAGGCCCCAAGCGUUAGGCGGAAUCACUGGGCUUAAAGCGUGUGUAGGCGGAUCGUUAAGUGUCUUGUGAAAUCCCACGGCUCACCCGUGGAACUGCUGGGCAUACUGGCGAUCUUGGGCCAACUAGGGGCAGUCGGAACAAGCGGUGGAGCGGUGAAAUGCGUAGAUAUCGGAAGGAACACCAGUGGCGAAAGCGGCUUCCUGGUCCAGCACCGACGUUCAGGCACGAAAGCGUGGGGAGCAAACAGG
Molecule: ribosomal RNA, 253 nt
Filed under: uncultured bacterium
Lineage: Bacteria
Description: partial 16S ribosomal RNA
Rfam family: Bacterial small subunit ribosomal RNA
Source: RNAcentral